Molecule: ribosomal RNA, 119 nt
Filed under: uncultured bacterium
Lineage: Bacteria
Description: partial 16S ribosomal RNA
Rfam family: Bacterial small subunit ribosomal RNA
Source: RNAcentral
GUACACACCGCCCGUCACACCAUGAGAGUUAGGAAUACCCGAAGCCUGUGAGCCAACUUUUCAAGAGGCAGCAGUCGAAGGUAGAACUAAUGAUUGGGGUGAAGUCGUAACAAGGUACC